UAGGGAAUCUUCGGCAAUGGGGGCAACCCUGACCGAGCAACGCCGCGUGAGUGAAGAAGGUUUUCGGAUCGUAAAGCUCUGUUGUAAGUCAAGAACGGGUGUGAGAGUGGAAAGUUCACACUGUGACGGUAGCUUACCAGAAAGGGACGGCUAACUACGUGCCAGCAGCCGCGGUAAUACGUAGGUCCCGAGCGUUGUCCGGAUUUAUUGGGCGUAAAGCGAGCGCAGGCGGUUUGAUAAGUCUGAAGUUAAAGGCUGUGGCUCAACCAUAGUUCGCUUUGGAAACUGUCAAACUUGAGUGCAGAAGGGGAGAGUGGAAUUCCAUGUGUAGCGGUGAAAUGCGUAGAUAUAUGGAGAACACCGGUGGCGAAAGCGGCUCUCUGGUCUGUAACUGACGCUGAGGCUCGAAAGCGUGGGGAGCGAACAGGAUUAGAUACCCUGGUAGUCCACGCCGUAAACGAUGAGUGCUAGGUGUUGGAUCCUUUCCGGGAUUCAGUGCCGAAGCUAACGCAUUAAGCACUCCGCCUGGGGAGUACGACCGCAAGGUUGAAAC
This 553-nucleotide ribosomal RNA is filed under the name uncultured bacterium. Its description in RNAcentral is "partial 16S ribosomal RNA". It matches the Rfam family "Bacterial small subunit ribosomal RNA", at positions 355 to 900 of the family's 1533-position model. The record is from RNAcentral.